RNAcentral lists this ribosomal RNA (428 nucleotides) under uncultured prokaryote. RNAcentral's name for it is "bacterial SSU rRNA". It matches the Rfam family "Bacterial small subunit ribosomal RNA", at positions 355 to 774 of the family's 1533-position model. The record is from RNAcentral.
UGGGGAAUAUUGGGCAAUGGGCGAAAGCCUGACCCAGCGACGCCGCGUGGGUGAUGAAGGCCUUCGGGUUGUAAAGCCCUUUCGUGUGGAAAGAACACUCCCGCGACUAAUACUCGCGGGAAUUGACGGUACCCGGAAAACAAGCCAAGGCUAACUACGUGCCAGCAGCCGCGGUAAUACGUAGGGUGCUAGCGUUACUCGGAAUCAUUGGGCGUAAAGGGUGUGUAGGUGGAUUAGUAAGUCAGAUGUGAAAGCCUUGGGCUCACCCCAAGAAGUGCAUUUGAUACUGCUAUUCUAGAGUUCGGGAGAGGGAGGCAGAAUUCCAGGUGUAGAGGUGAAAUCCGUAGAUAUCUGGAGGAAUACCGGAGGCGAAGGCGGCCUCCUGGACCGAUACUGACACUGAAACACGAAAGCGUGGGGAGCAAACA